Long non-coding RNA from Bombus pascuorum, 2022 nucleotides. RefSeq lists it as uncharacterized. The record is from RefSeq and is a predicted model, not a curated record. The transcript has 2 exons. Lineage: Eukaryota; Metazoa; Arthropoda; Insecta; Hymenoptera; Apidae.
AUUUAUUAAAGGCGCGCAUCUAGAGGACGGUCACCUCAAAGUGUCUCUGAACCUUCGAAGCAGUGUACUCACUAUGCCAAACUUCGUGCAAAAGGGUUUAGUCUUCCCGCGUUUAAACGGUUCGUUUCAGGUGUCACACGAUUGUGUAUUGAUUAUUUUUUUCUUGUACGGACUAUAGAACUGUAUGUACGCAUAUAUUCAUACAAUUGUAUUGCAAAUACUUCAUUACGCAAAGACACACUAAUGUUUAUUGUUAUUGAAACAGAUGUAACGUACAAUGCAUUAAUAUGCACAUAUCACUUUGCGUUACAAUAGUAUUACAAUCGAGUGAAAAAUAACAAAGAUUCUUUGCAACUUGAAUUGUUAAGUUACGAAAUACAAAUAUUAAUGUAUUCUAGUAAACCGCUGCAUGCAUUUGAAAGUUUCAGGUCAACAAUAAGACUUAUAAUAGAAGAUACACGUACAUACUCGUAUACGUAACUAUUACAGUAUCUAACUCUAAAGACUAAGUAAAAUAGAAUAACAAGUCGUUAAAAUAAAAUCAAUAAUAAAUUUGUAGGAAGUCAGAAUGGUACUACGAGGUCAUCGGCAUCUUGACUUCAAAUUACAUAGAACUUUAUAAAAAUAACUCAAUCAUUGUUAUAAAAUUGUUAACUAAUAAAAAUUAAAUUUUGUAAAUGUAUAUAACUUUCUUUAAAAAUUCAUAUAUUUUAAAAAAUAGAGAGACAUAUAUUUAAACAACAUAGUUCAUAGAAAGAAUUACGUCAAAAAUUAUGAAAAUUGUUCACAUUGGUGACGCUGAAGACUACCAUUUACUUUAUCGUAGAUACAUCCCUGCGGUUUAUGCUUGCGCAUGCGCGUAUCUGUACGCACGAAGAGGUACUCGACUAAUCGCAUCGGGUGCCCCGGCCACGCUUCCCGCUCUUCGUUUCCUCGUGUUAUUUAGUGAACGUCUUUACGUUCUUUUCCGAAUUCUUGUUAUUUUGUGGUUACCCAAACGUCACGCGAUACCUUUGAAUUUUGCGCAUUAGUUAUAAUUGCAUAUAUUAAAGACAUCCUCUGGGUAUACAGAAUUUCUGCGCAUCAAUACGUUCGUGCAACGUCAACCUAACCCCCAAUAAGUGCAGGAGCCACGGACCUGACAUUCCAUUACGAUGUAUAAGGCUUUCCUCCAGGUUCCAAGAGAAAUAGCCCUGCUGAACAUUUUACGAUUGUACAAUGCUUGCUUACUUGUAAACGUCAAUGAACGCAUGCGCAUAAGAGAGUACCGUGAAUAGUCUGUCAUCAGGUUCGUAUAUAAGAUGGAGACACGAAAGAGGGAAACAUACCCAAAAUAUAGUAAAAAUAAUUUAUCUCAAUUUCAUUAGUAAAAUUUAUGUCUUGUUCAAGUAAUUAUAUCGUUUCGCACGUCAUAAGAAGUUAAAAAUAGAUUAAACGUUUUAAGAAAUAAAAGAACGUUAUUCUAUAACAAAGUUAUUGAUUUUUUAAUAUUCUAUAAAAAUCUACUGCUUGAUAUAUUAAUAUUAUUUUUUCAAUGAAAAUUUACAGAUUAUGUAGGCAUUAUAAACUUUGAUCUAUCUCAUUAACUUUCUUGCAGUGAUCUAUCGCGCUGUUAUAUUUAUUACUUAUUAUAAUUACGUAUAAACGUAUAAGCAAAUUUAAUAUUUAUUCAAGAAAAGAUAACAUGUUCUAAAGGUCCAAGGCGCAAUGUUCUAUAAUUCAUUCAAAUGUUUUAUGCUAACAGAACUAUUAUAUAUCUAUAUUCGUUGUUAUAUAUCUAUGAAUUGUAAACAAUUCGAAAGAAUAUGUAUGUACUUAGUAAGUAACAGAUUGUACAUUUGAAUUUGCACGUAAUGAGCUCUCAGUGAUCUACGGAUAACUGAGUUCGGAGCACCUGGCGCACAGCCAAUGCGGUUGAGAAAAACGUGUUAGUAUCACUAACAUCUUUCAUUAAGGACAGAUACAUAUUGUACAUACAUGUAUGUAUUCUUUGUAUUUCGUAUAUAACAAUUUUAUAUUUAA